Molecule: ribosomal RNA, 460 nt
Filed under: uncultured bacterium
Lineage: Bacteria
Description: partial 16S ribosomal RNA
Rfam family: Bacterial small subunit ribosomal RNA
Source: RNAcentral
CCUACGGGAGGCAGCAGUGAGGAAUAUUGGUCAAUGGUCGGGAGACUGAACCAGCCAAGCCGCGUGAGGGAGGAAGGUACAGAGUAUCGUAAACCUCUUUUGUCAGGGAACAAAGGCGGGGACGUGUCCCCGGAUGAGUGUACCUGAAGAAAAAGCAUCGGCUAACUCCGUGCCAGCAGCCGCGGUAAUACGGAGGAUGCGAGCGUUAUCCGGAUUUAUUGGGUUUAAAGGGUGCGGAGGCUGUUUUUUAAGUCAGCGGUCAAAGUCCGGGGCUCAACCCCCGCCCCGCCGUUGAAACUGGCAGUCUCGAGUUGGAGAGAAGUAUGCGGAAUGCGCGGUGUAGCGGUGAAAUGCAUAGAUAUCGCGCAGAACUCCGAUUGCGAAGGCAGCUUGCCGGCUCCACACUGACGCUGAGGCACGAAAGCGUGGGUAUCGAACAGGAUUAGAUACCCCAGUAGUC